GCCCAUCCCGGCCUGAGAUAAUUAUAUAUAUCUAAUAUAUAUAUCAUAACAAUAAAGUUUCAUAUUAUAUGCUAAUGAAUAUAUCAAAAUCGGACUUGUUAGGCGGGUUUGAUAUUGACCUUUCAGGAAUGUGCGGGCCAGGACAAAAAAUAGAGACCCAAUGUCCGGAUCAGGCCGUGCCUGAGCAUAAACACUGGUCCUAAUUUAUGCUGUAGAGACUAGCCUUGGCUGGCAUUCGAU
Molecule: long non-coding RNA, 240 nt
Filed under: Phoenix dactylifera (date palm)
Lineage: Eukaryota; Viridiplantae; Streptophyta; Magnoliopsida; Arecales; Arecaceae
Description: long non-coding RNA (PDAC_LNC004102)
Source: RNAcentral